This is a long non-coding RNA of Panicum virgatum (switchgrass), 748 nucleotides long. RefSeq lists it as uncharacterized. Lineage: Eukaryota; Viridiplantae; Streptophyta; Magnoliopsida; Poales; Poaceae. The record is from RefSeq and is a predicted model, not a curated record. The transcript is spliced from 3 exons.
UUCCCCGGAGGCCCGGACGCGACGGGCGGUUGAAGCCGCCGCAUCGGCAUCGAUCCCGUACGCUGCUGCCGCCAGAUUUCGGCGCCGAUGGUUCUUGCCCAGUCCGCAGUCUCCCCAGGUCUGCAGCUCGCAUCUACUUCAUCGGAGCCGAUCCCAUUCACUGGUACAGUUGGCUUCCCUUCGUCAGAUUCAUCAGCACAUCUCGUCGGUGCGUGUGCUUUUCCGCGGCGAGGAUCGGCGUCCCAGUCCUCCGGCUUCCAGACAGUCGGCGACCCCAUCCACACUGCAACUAUCCACUACAAGCGAUUACCCGGCAACUUGUUCUUCGACCCUGGGGACUAAGCGGCGGCUGACCUCCCACCUCUCUGGUAGGCGCGCACGCAUCUGGGUGUCCGAGUGAUGGGGAUCUCGUCAGACGCGGCGGCGGCAGUGGCUGACUGGCCGGAUCCUUGCCGGGGAGUAUCAAGGCGGAUCCGGUGCGCGGCGUUGUAGGCGGCGGAGCUGUGCAACCCGUGCAGUUGCGUUGCUCUCAGUUGCAACCUGAAUCGUCAAUCUGCUUUGCAGGGAGGUGUGUCUGUCCAGCGAUUACCAAUGGUUGCCGUAACUGGCUUGUGGUGCUCCACCUCACGUAGUUAGGAUAAUAUCAUAUCAUGUCAAUGGACCCUUUCUUCCUUUUUCUUUAGCAAUAUGUAUUUGUUACAAGGGACGUGUGUUCCCAAAAAUUUAGCAUCUAAUUUCCAGUUCUGUA